AUGUCCAUGUGCGAGAACUUCCUGGGUUGUCGACCACACUGGGGUCUCUUUAAGCACAUAUUCACCUGUCGCUCACAGACGGUGAAAAAGGCGAGUCCGGAUGAUGAGAGGACUAAGGUUAUCCAGAUGUGUGGGGGUCUUGGGAUUCAGAUGAGGAAUAAGAGUACUUUCCCGGCCAUGACCCUUCCUGAGUCGGUCAGAGGGUGGCAGUCGACUUGGUUCUACUGCCAAGACGAGUCGACGCCAGGGCAGUCGACUGGUCUCCCUCCGUUCUCCAUGGACCGAGUGGACAAACCCUCUUCUCUGAAGGUGCUUCCUGAGGAGAAAGCUCGGGUAAAAAUGUUGAUGGAGCGUGUAGUCCAACUCGUUAGGGACGGAGUGGCGGGCAUGGAUCUUCUGGAGGUCCUACUUAGACGGUGCAUCCAACCGCUUCAGUACCGAGGCCACCCGAUGUGGCUGUACUGUGGUACCGAAGACACCACUCGGGUCCAUCCAGAAGCGAUCGACGAUGCCACACUGGAGAGGUGUGUGACCGCAAUCACAGGGAAUAAGGACAACCCUCAAGGGGCUAGGAGGAUCCCACCACUCGACUGUACCUACACACCGGACACGGCCACCACUGAGUUAUACUCGAUUCCCAAUGGAGCGCAAACGCCGACUGAGGAGGAGGAAGGAAGUGGGGGCGAAAGCCCGGAGGAGUGGGAUUCGGAUGCUGAUGAUGAUGACGAGGGUGAUGACUCUGGUGAGGAGGAAGAAGAGGAGGAGGAGGAGGAAGUUGUACCUCCUCGCUCGGAAAGACGCUCGAAGCUUGUCCAUGAUCCCGCGACCGAGCGUGGUAAGGGGGUCGCAACCGCCACACAGUCGACCAAGCGCCCUCGGACUACUUCUCCGGUGCCGACCGAGAAAGCUCCGAAGCAAUCUCGAGUGGCGCCGUCGAAGACGGCGAAGGUCUUGCCGAAGAUGAAGAUGGUGAUCCCCACUAUCUCAGGUGCUGCUACUUCUGAUACCUUGGGCAGAGCUGAAGAUCAGGAAAUGGAGGAUGCUGUUACUUCGAAACCUGCUUCAUCUAACGUCAUUAUCGACCUUCCUGACGACGACGACGAGGAACCACUGAGGCAGAGAAGGAACAAGAAAGUGUCUGCUGGCAAGGCGACUUAG
RNAcentral lists this ribosomal RNA (1158 nucleotides) under Triticum aestivum (bread wheat). Its description in RNAcentral is "partial small subunit ribosomal RNA". The record is from RNAcentral. Lineage: Eukaryota; Viridiplantae; Streptophyta; Magnoliopsida; Poales; Poaceae.